AUGGCUCAGAUUGAACGCUGGCGGCAGGCCUAACACAUGCAAGUCGAACGGUAACAGGAAGCAGCUUGCUGCUUUGCUGACGAGUGGCGGACGGGUGAGUAAUGUCUGGGAAACUGCCUGAUGGAGGGGGAUAACUACUGGAAACGGUAGCUAAUACCGCAUAACGUCGCAAGACCAAAGAGGGGGACCUUCGGGCCUCUUGCCAUCGGAUGUGCCCAGAUGGGAUUGGCUAGUAGGUGGGGUAACGGCUCACCUAGGCGACGAUCCCUAGCUGGUCUGAGAGGAUGACCAGCCACACUGGAACUGAGACACGGUCCAGACUCCUACGGGAGGCAGCAGUGGGGAAUAUUGCACAAUGGGCGCAAGCCUGAUGCAGCCAUGCCGCGUGUAUGAAGAAGGCCUUCGGGUUGUAAAGUACUUUCAGCGGGGAGGAAGGGAGUAAAGUUAAUACCUUUGCUCAUUGACGUUACCCGCAGAAGAAGCACCGGCUAACUCCGUGCCAGCAGCCGCGGUAAUACGGAGGGUGCAAGCGUUAAUCGGAAUUACUGGGCGUAAAGCGCACGCAGGCGGUUUGUUAAGUCAGAUGUGAAAUCCCCGGGCUCAACCUGGGAACUGCAUCUGAUACUGGCAAGCUUGAGUCUCGUAGAGGGGGGUAGAAUUCCAGGUGUAGCGGUGAAAUGCGUAGAGAUCUGGAGGAAUACCGGUGGCGAAGGCGGCCCCCUGGACGAAGACUGACGCUCAGGUGCGAAAGCGUGGGGAGCAAACAGGAUUAGAUACCCUGGUAGUCCACGCCGUAAACGAUGUCGACUUGGAGGUUGUGCCCUUGAGGCGUGGCUUCCGGAGCUAACGCGUUAAGUCGACCGCCUGGGGAGUACGGCCGCAAGGUUAAAACUCAAAUGAAUUGACGGGGGCCCGCACAAGCGGUGGAGCAUGUGGUUUAAUUCGAUGCAACGCGAAGAACCUUACCUGGUCUUGACAUCCACGGAAGUUUUCAGAGAUGAGAAUGUGCCUUCGGGAACCGUGAGACAGGUGCUGCAUGGCUGUCGUCAGCUCGUGUUGUGAAAUGUUGGGUUAAGUCCCGCAACGAGCGCAACCCUUAUCCUUUGUUGCCAGCGGUCCGGCCGGGAACUCAAAGGAGACUGCCAGUGAUAAACUGGAGGAAGGUGGGGAUGACGUCAAGUCAUCAUGGCCCUUACGACCAGGGCUACACACGUGCUGCAAUGGCGCAUACAAAGAGAAGCGACCUCGCGAGAGCAAGCGGACCUCAUAAAGUGCGUCGUAGUCCGGAUUGGAGUCUGCAACUCGACUCCAUGAAGUCGGAAUCGCUAGUAAUCGUGGAUCAGAAUGCCACGGUGGAUACGUUCCCGGGCCUUGUACACACCGCCCGUCACACCAUGGGAGUGGGUUGCAAAAGAAGUAGGUAGCUUAACCUUCGGGAGGGCGCUUACCACUUUGUGAUUCAUGACUGGGGUGAAGUCGUAACAAGGUAACC
RNAcentral lists this ribosomal RNA (1492 nucleotides) under uncultured bacterium. RNAcentral describes it as "bacterial SSU rRNA". It matches the Rfam family "Bacterial small subunit ribosomal RNA". The record is from RNAcentral.